This 83-nucleotide transfer RNA is filed under the name Methanoregula sp. PtaU1.Bin006. RNAcentral's name for it is "tRNA-Leu". It matches the Rfam family "tRNA". From Rfam's summary of the family: Transfer RNA (tRNA) molecules are approximately 80 nucleotides in length. Their secondary structure includes four short double-helical elements and three loops (D, anti-codon, and T loops). Further hydrogen bonds mediate the characteristic L-shaped molecular structure. tRNAs have two regions of fundamental functional importance: the anti-codon, which is responsible for specific mRNA codon recognition, and the 3' end, to which the tRNAs corresponding amino acid is attached (by aminoacyl-tRNA synthetases). tRNAs cope with the degeneracy of the genetic code in two manners: having more than one tRNA (with a specific anti-codon) for a particular amino acid; and 'wobble' base-pairing, i.e. permitting non-standard base-pairing at the 3rd anti-codon position. RNAcentral also lists the same sequence under 2 other names. Lineage: Archaea; Methanobacteriati; Methanobacteriota; Methanomicrobia; Methanomicrobiales; Methanoregulaceae. The record is from RNAcentral.
GCGAGAAUACCCAAGUGGUCAACGGGGAUCGACUCAAGAUCGAUUCGCGCAGGCGUUCGCAGGUUCGACUCCUGCUUCUCGCA